GACGAACGCUGGCGGCGUGCCUAAUACAUGCAAGUAGGACGCAGUUGCGAACGGGUGAGUAACGCGUAGGUAACUACCUAUUAGAGGGGGAUAACUAUUGGAUACGAUAGCUAAUACCGCAUACUAGUAGAUGGAUCUGCGUUGUAUUAGCUAGUAGGUAGGGUAAUGGCCUACCUAGGCAACGAUACAUCGCCGACCUGGGUGGGUGAUCCGCCACACUGGGACUGGGACACGGCCCAGACGCCUACGGGGGGCAGCAAUAGGGAAUCUUCGGCAAUGGGGGGAAACCUGACCGAGCAACGCCGGGUGGGUGGAGAAGGUUUUCGGAUCGUAAAGCUCUGUUGUUAAGGAAGCGUUACUUAACCAGAAAGGGACGGCUAACUACGUGCCAGCAGCCGCGGUAAUAC
This 407-nucleotide ribosomal RNA is filed under the name uncultured bacterium. RNAcentral's name for it is "partial 16S ribosomal RNA". It matches the Rfam family "Bacterial small subunit ribosomal RNA", at positions 28 to 526 of the family's 1533-position model. The record is from RNAcentral.